AAGGGAGACCUAAUUCAGGUAGGAGACGAAAAAAAAGUAGUCGCUACCAAGAAUCAAUCCCAAAAGGUCGGAGCGAGGCGAAAUUGGCUUUCAAACUAGGUUCUGGGUUCACACAAGACCUGAAUCAGGAACAAGGGCUAUUAGCUCAGGUGGUUAGAGCGCACCCCUGAUAAGGGUGAGGUCCCUGGUUCGAGUCCAGGAUGGCCCACCUGCACAGGUGGCAAAAACAAGAGAAGCGAGGAAUCAGCACCUUAUCUUAUCUAUAUAUAUAUAGGAGAGAAUGCUGGCUCUGAGUAAAGAGUCCAGGGGAACCUUGAAAACUGCAUAGAGCUAGGUGAAAAAGCCAAAAAAGAAGACCGCAAGGUCAAGCUAAUAAGGGCUAACGGUGGAUACCUAGGCAC
This 401-nucleotide transfer RNA is filed under the name uncultured Microcystis sp. RNAcentral's name for it is "partial contains 16S-23S ribosomal RNA intergenic spacer, and 23S ribosomal RNA". The stretch from base 135 to 208 matches the Rfam family "tRNA". The record is from RNAcentral. Lineage: Bacteria; Bacillati; Cyanobacteriota; Cyanophyceae; Chroococcales; Microcystaceae.